UGAGGAAUAUUGGUCAAUGGGCGAGAGCCUGAACCAGCCAAAUCGCGUGAAGGAAGACUGCCUUAUGGGUUGUAAACUUCUUUUAUACAGGAAUAAAAAAGGGGACGUGUCCCUUAUUGCAUGUACUGUAUGAAUAAGCAUCGGCUAACUCCGUGCCAGCAGCCGCGGUAAUACGGAGGAUGCGAGCGUUAUCCGGAUUUAUUGGGUUUAAAGGAUGCGCAGGCGGGCUUUUAAGUCAGCGGUGAAAUCUCGGGGCUUAACUCCGAAACUGCCGUUGAAACUGGGAGUCUUGAGUAUGGAUGAAGUAGGCGGAAUUCGUUGUGUAGCGGUGACAUGCUUAGAUAUAACGAGGAACUCCGAUUGCGUAGGCAGCUUACUAAGCCAUAACUGACGCUCAAGCACGAAAGCGUGGGGAUCAAAACAGGAUUAGAUACCCUGGUAGUCCACGCCGUAAACGAUGAUUACUAGUUGUAUGCGAUAUACCGUAUGUGACUAAGCGAAAGCGAUAAGUAAUCCACCUGGGGAGUACGCCGGCAACGGUGAAACUUAAAGGAAUUGAC
This 560-nucleotide ribosomal RNA is filed under the name uncultured bacterium. RNAcentral's name for it is "partial 16S ribosomal RNA". It matches the Rfam family "Bacterial small subunit ribosomal RNA", at positions 355 to 914 of the family's 1533-position model. The record is from RNAcentral.